RNAcentral lists this ribosomal RNA (2902 nucleotides) under Escherichia coli. RNAcentral's name for it is "bacterial LSU rRNA". It matches the Rfam family "Bacterial large subunit ribosomal RNA". Lineage: Bacteria; Pseudomonadati; Pseudomonadota; Gammaproteobacteria; Enterobacterales; Enterobacteriaceae. The record is from RNAcentral.
UUAAGCGACUAAGCGUACACGGUGGAUGCCCUGGCAGUCAGAGGCGAUGAAGGACGUGCUAAUCUGCGAUAAGCGUCGGUAAGGUGAUAUGAACCGUUAUAACCGGCGAUUUCCGAAUGGGGAAACCCAGUGUGUUUCGACACACUAUCAUUAACUGAAUCCAUAGGUUAAUGAGGCGAACCGGGGGAACUGAAACAUCUAAGUACCCCGAGGAAAAGAAAUCAACCGAGAUUCCCCCAGUAGCGGCGAGCGAACGGGGAGCAGCCCAGAGCCUGAAUCAGUGUGUGUGUUAGUGGAAGCGUCUGGAAAGGCGCGCGAUACAGGGUGACAGCCCCGUACACAAAAAUGCACAUGCUGUGAGCUCGAUGAGUAGGGCGGGACACGUGGUAUCCUGUCUGAAUAUGGGGGGACCAUCCUCCAAGGCUAAAUACUCCUGACUGACCGAUAGUGAACCAGUACCGUGAGGGAAAGGCGAAAAGAACCCCGGCGAGGGGAGUGAAAAAGAACCUGAAACCGUGUACGUACAAGCAGUGGGAGCACGCUUAGGCGUGUGACUGCGUACCUUUUGUAUAAUGGGUCAGCGACUUAUAUUCUGUAGCAAGGUUAACCGAAUAGGGGAGCCGAAGGGAAACCGAGUCUUAACUGGGCGUUAAGUUGCAGGGUAUAGACCCGAAACCCGGUGAUCUAGCCAUGGGCAGGUUGAAGGUUGGGUAACACUAACUGGAGGACCGAACCGACUAAUGUUGAAAAAUUAGCGGAUGACUUGUGGCUGGGGGUGAAAGGCCAAUCAAACCGGGAGAUAGCUGGUUCUCCCCGAAAGCUAUUUAGGUAGCGCCUCGUGAAUUCAUCUCCGGGGGUAGAGCACUGUUUCGGCAAGGGGGUCAUCCCGACUUACCAACCCGAUGCAAACUGCGAAUACCGGAGAAUGUUAUCACGGGAGACACACGGCGGGUGCUAACGUCCGUCGUGAAGAGGGAAACAACCCAGACCGCCAGCUAAGGUCCCAAAGUCAUGGUUAAGUGGGAAACGAUGUGGGAAGGCCCAGACAGCCAGGAUGUUGGCUUAGAAGCAGCCAUCAUUUAAAGAAAGCGUAAUAGCUCACUGGUCGAGUCGGCCUGCGCGGAAGAUGUAACGGGGCUAAACCAUGCACCGAAGCUGCGGCAGCGACGCUUAUGCGUUGUUGGGUAGGGGAGCGUUCUGUAAGCCUGUGAAGGUGUACUGUGAGGUAUGCUGGAGGUAUCAGAAGUGCGAAUGCUGACAUAAGUAACGAUAAAGCGGGUGAAAAGCCCGCUCGCCGGAAGACCAAGGGUUCCUGUCCAACGUUAAUCGGGGCAGGGUGAGUCGACCCCUAAGGCGAGGCCGAAAGGCGUAGUCGAUGGGAAACAGGUUAAUAUUCCUGUACUUGGUGUUACUGCGAAGGGGGGACGGAGAAGGCUAUGUUGGCCGGGCGACGGUUGUCCCGGUUUAAGCGUGUAGGCUGGUUUUCCAGGCAAAUCCGGAAAAUCAAGGCUGAGGCGUGAUGACGAGGCACUACGGUGCUGAAGCAACAAAUGCCCUGCUUCCAGGAAAAGCCUCUAAGCAUCAGGUAACAUCAAAUCGUACCCCAAACCGACACAGGUGGUCAGGUAGAGAAUACCAAGGCGCUUGAGAGAACUCGGGUGAAGGAACUAGGCAAAAUGGUGCCGUAACUUCGGGAGAAGGCACGCUGAUAUGUAGGUGAAGCGACUUGCUCGUGGAGCUGAAAUCAGUCGAAGAUACCAGCUGGCUGCAACUGUUUAUUAAAAACACAGCACUGUGCAAACACGAAAGUGGACGUAUACGGUGUGACGCCUGCCCGGUGCCGGAAGGUUAAUUGAUGGGGUCAGCGCAAGCGAAGCUCUUGAUCGAAGCCCCGGUAAACGGCGGCCGUAACUAUAACGGUCCUAAGGUAGCGAAAUUCCUUGUCGGGUAAGUUCCGACCUGCACGAAUGGCGUAAUGAUGGCCAGGCUGUCUCCACCCGAGACUCAGUGAAAUUGAACUCGCUGUGAAGAUGCAGUGUACCCGCGGCAAGACGGAAAGACCCCGUGAACCUUUACUAUAGCUUGACACUGAACAUUGAGCCUUGAUGUGUAGGAUAGGUGGGAGGCUUUGAAGUGUGGACGCCAGUCUGCAUGGAGCCGGCCUUGAAAUACCACCCUUUAAUGUUUGAUGUUCUAACGUUGACCCGUGAUCCGGGUUGCGGACAGUGUCUGGUGGGUAGUUUGACUGGGGCGGUCUCCUCCUAAAGAGUAACGGAGGAGCACGAAGGUUGGCUAAUCCUGGUCGGACAUCAGGAGGUUAGUGCAAUGGCAUAAGCCAGCUUGACUGCGAGCGUGACGGCGCGAGCAGGUGCGAAAGCAGGUCAUAGUGAUCCGGUGGUUCUGAAUGGAAGGGCCAUCGCUCAACGGAUAAAAGGUACUCCGGGGAUAACAGGCUGAUACCGCCCAAGAGUUCAUAUCGACGGCGGUGUUUGGCACCUCGAUGUCGGCUCAUCACAUCCUGGGGCUGAAGUAGGUCCCAAGGGUAUGGCUGUUCGCCAUUUAAAGUGGUACGCGAGCUGGGUUUAGAACGUCGUGAGACAGUUCGGUCCCUAUCUGCCGUGGGCGCUGGAGAACUGAGGGGGGCUGCUCCUAGUACGAGAGGACCGGAGUGGACGCAUCACUGGUGUUCGGGUUGUCAUGCCAAUGGCACUGCCCGGUAGCUAAAUGCGGAAGAGAUAAGUGCUGAAAGCAUCUAAGCACGAAACUUGCCCCGAGAUGAGUUCUCCCUGACUCCUUGAGAGUCCUGAAGGAACGUUGAAGACGACGACGUUGAUAGGCCGGGUGUGUAAGCGCAGCGAUGCGUUGAGCUAACCGGUACUAAUGAACCGUGAGGCUUAACCUU